Molecule: ribosomal RNA, 38 nt
Filed under: Halopteris filicina
Lineage: Eukaryota; Phaeophyceae; Sphacelariales; Stypocaulaceae
Description: partial 26S ribosomal RNA
Source: RNAcentral
GAGACCUCCGAUCAAGCAAGAAGACCCGCUGAAUUUAA